Molecule: ribosomal RNA, 459 nt
Filed under: Zagryphus nasutus
Lineage: Eukaryota; Metazoa; Arthropoda; Insecta; Hymenoptera; Ichneumonidae
Description: partial 28S ribosomal RNA
Source: RNAcentral
CCUGAGAAACCCAAAAGAUCGAAUGGGGAGAUUCAUCGUCAGCGAUCCUGGCGCGUGUGCGGUUCGUGAUGCCACGAGGCUUAUGUCUCCCGUGGCACGCGUCCGUAUGGUUUUAUUGCCAGGUGUCGUCGGCGUGCACUUCUCCCCUAGUAGGACGUCGCGACCCGUUGGGUGUCGGUCUACGGCCCGGGUGGGCGCCUGUCAUGUGUCACGCUUCACGGCGUCGUGUGGCAGACCCCCGGUUGUCUGGCCGGCUGCUCGGCGGUACUCGCACGGUAUCGGGCCGCAAAUAUUCGAACUGCGUCCGGCCCGCCGCAAGCGAGGUCAGUGUUUCCCGGAUGUACGGACCUAGCGCCGGCACCGGGCCUGGCCAGCUGUUGGUUGGCGGUGUCCUGGGACUGGCUCUUUAUUAAAUUAUGAUACCGGUCGGCGACGCUACUGCUUUSGGUACUUUCAGGA